This 292-nucleotide ribosomal RNA is filed under the name uncultured bacterium. Its description in RNAcentral is "partial 16S ribosomal RNA". It matches the Rfam family "Bacterial small subunit ribosomal RNA", at positions 505 to 796 of the family's 1533-position model. The record is from RNAcentral.
GUGUCAGCCGCCGCGGUAAUACGAAGGGUGCAAGCGUUACUCGGAAUUACUGGGCGUAAAGCGUGCGUAGGCGGUUUGUUAAGUCUGUCGUGAAAGCCCCGGGCUCAACCUGGGAAUGGCGGUGGAUACUGGCAGGCUAGAGUACGGUAGAGGAUGGUGGAAUUCCCGGUGUAGCAGUGAAAUGCGUAGAGAUCGGGAGGAACAUCUAUGGCGAAGGCAGCCAUCUGGACCAGUACUGACGCUGAGGCACGAAAGCGUGGGGAGCAAACAGGAUUAGAAACCCCGGUAGUCC